AUCACCAACAUCCGCCGGAAAUCUCCACACAACGACCCUCCAUUUCAACUUUCGGCGACCCCUCAAAAAAACAACUUUCGACGUCGCCUCUAACUUUGACGCCAUCCACCUCCACUACCACUACGUCACCGCAUCAUCGCUCCACCCUCCGUUACACUUUCAAACAACAUCUUCCGCCACAGUAAUCUUCAUCGCUGUCGAAACCCACAUCAACAUCACCGGCGAAUCCAAACCACCUCCACCGUUCUUCUUCUUUCGACAUCGAAUCCAAAGUCAACUUCGCCGUCACAACACUACAACCGACCUUCACGCGACAACCUCCGGUGAAAGCUUUCCGUCCGCCAUAACCCACUUCUUCACAUUUUCACAAAGCACGGUUUUCCUUCACCACUUUUACUCACAGCCGAGCUUGCCGCCAUCUAAAACCCUAUCCUCUAGAAAUUCUGCACAACGGUGAACUGAAAUCACACCGUCGACCCAACUCUGUUUGGCGAUUUCGAAUCCUCAUGAUACCCUGUGUGGAUGUUGUCCGUUUUUGUGCAGGUUGGAGUAUGAUUACUCUGUAUGCGAAUGGAGUAAUACGAAGCAACGCCGGAGCCGCAAUAGCUUGAAGAUGUGGAAAGGGUCGAUGUUUAGCGAUCGAUGUGCUCAAAGAAAGUCACAAAUUAUACUAUGACAAUGCUGCAGAAGCUCAAUGGCGACAUCGACAAGCGUAUCAGCAACGUAAUUUGCAUUUUGGUAACGAUUUUAAUUUUCUUCGAACGUAUUUAUUAUGGUGUUUCAAUCUGAUUUAAUCAUAUGGUUGUUUCUGUCAAGCAAUUACAAACUUCACUGUCGUAUGCUGUAUUUUGGUUAUCGAAAGUUUGUUCGUCUUCGACCCGGCGCAGUUGUUGUGUAUUGGUUGUGGUGUUGUUUUUGUUGAUUGCUUCAGUGCAAUAAUUCACUUAGCAACGUGUGUGUGUGUUGUGGUGUCAUUGUGUCGAUUACAUUGACGUCCCAAUUACAAUUUUUGGUUAGAACACAGGUUAUUAAAACUAGUUUAAUGCUUGUUGUGCUUUUUUUUUAUGAUGAGUUUUUGCAUAUAAAUGCCUUCGAUUCAGUGCUUAAUGCAUACCUAUGUA
RNAcentral lists this long non-coding RNA (1121 nucleotides) under Lathyrus oleraceus (garden pea). Its description in RNAcentral is "Pisum sativum (pea) long non-coding RNA (PSAT_LNC031884)". Lineage: Eukaryota; Viridiplantae; Streptophyta; Magnoliopsida; Fabales; Fabaceae. The record is from RNAcentral.